RNAcentral lists this ribosomal RNA (253 nucleotides) under uncultured bacterium. RNAcentral's name for it is "partial 16S ribosomal RNA". It matches the Rfam family "Bacterial small subunit ribosomal RNA", at positions 524 to 776 of the family's 1533-position model. The record is from RNAcentral.
UAUGUAGGGGGCAAGCGUUGUCCGGAUUUAUUGGGCGUAAAGAGCGUGUAGGCGGUUAUACAGGUCCGCUGUGAAAACUGGAGGCUUAACCUCCAGACGUCGGUGGAAACCGUAUGACUAGAGUCCGGAAGAGGAGAGUGGAAUUCCUGGUGUAGCGGUGAAAUGCGCAGAUAUCAGGAAGAACACCCGUGGCGAAGGCGGCUCUCUGGGACGGUACUGACGCUGAGACGCGAAAGCGUGGGGAGCGAACAGG